Molecule: ribosomal RNA, 211 nt
Filed under: uncultured bacterium
Lineage: Bacteria
Description: partial 16S ribosomal RNA
Rfam family: Bacterial small subunit ribosomal RNA (bases 101-211)
Source: RNAcentral
CAUCCUCCUGUGCUCGUCUCCACCACACGCGCGCGCGACAUUAUUCCUUCGCGCAGCACGACGNUAAUAGUCACCUCGGAGGAGCCGCCAGGAGGAAUACAGAAGUAUAGGCGGGGUCCGCACAAGCGGUGAGCAUGUGGUUUAAUUCGAUGAUACGCGAGGAACCUUACCUGGGCUAGAAUGUGAAGGAAUCGAUGCAGAGAUGCAUCAG